Ipomoea triloba (trilobed morning glory) is the source of this 657-nucleotide long non-coding RNA. RefSeq lists it as uncharacterized. The record is from RefSeq and is a predicted model, not a curated record. The transcript has 2 exons. Lineage: Eukaryota; Viridiplantae; Streptophyta; Magnoliopsida; Solanales; Convolvulaceae.
CAAAGGUUGAAUCCCGAGCUUCAAUCUUCGAAUUUCUUGUGUUCAUAGUGAGAUUGAGAUGUCAUCCAGCAAUGAGUCGUAUAGUUCGGUAACUUCACCGAACUAUAAUGGCUCAGUUUUUGGAUAUGGAGACUAUAUACAGCAUACGAUAGGGGAAGACCCCUAUGUACCCAGCUACACUCUGCUAGCUCCUGACGAUUCCUUCUCAUCAUCCAGCUCUCUUGUGUCUCUGGUAGAUGCUCAUCAGGCUCGGUGGGGCUACUACCCAAUAGAAGUCUAACCGGGUAGCGACCCCCUGGAAUUCAUUGUACAUUACCCAUAUCUCUGGGAUCCCACUCCUCCUGAGGGAGAAUGGUCUAUGGUCAUUGUCACCGAUCGCUCCUUGGAUCACCUUAAGUGGUUUGAGGGCGAAUGGCAUCUAGUUUGGGGAGAGUUUGAGAUCCCAGUGUAUCGUAUGAUCUGAUAGGUGGUGGAGGUCAUGUCGGGGUAGUCUAAAACUCUCUUUUUGUGUACAUAUUCUGCAGUAGUCUUAGUAGAUCAAUUGCCAAACUUGGCAUUGUGAUUAUGUAUAUAUAUCUAACUUAUGUUUUGGGGUUCUAAGGACGUCGUUAUCACACCUAUGAACCUAUAUAUAUAUAUAUGUGUGAAUGUUUGGAA